RNAcentral lists this ribosomal RNA (621 nucleotides) under Salmonella enterica subsp. enterica serovar Enteritidis. RNAcentral's name for it is "partial 23S ribosomal RNA". It matches the Rfam family "Bacterial large subunit ribosomal RNA", at positions 1 to 587 of the family's 2925-position model. The record is from RNAcentral. Lineage: Bacteria; Pseudomonadati; Pseudomonadota; Gammaproteobacteria; Enterobacterales; Enterobacteriaceae.
GGGUUGUGAGGUUAAGCGACUAAGCGUACACGGUGGAUGCCCUGGCAGUCAGAGGCGAUGAAGGGCGUACUAAUCUGCGAUAAGCGCCGGUAAGGUGAUAUGAACCGUUAUAACCGGCGAUACCCGAAUGGGGAAACCCAGUGUGACUCGUCACACUAUCAUUAACUGAAUCCAUAGGUUAAUGAGGCGAACCGGGGGAACUGAAACAUCUAAGUACCCCGAGGAAAAGAAAUCAACCGAGAUUCCCCCAGUAGCGGCGAGCGAACGGGGAGGAGCCCAGAGCCUGAAUCAGCAUGUGUGUUAGUGGAAGCGUCUGGAAAGGCGCGCGAUACAGGGUGACAGCCCCGUACACAAAAGCGCAUGUGCUGUGAGCUCGAUGAGUAGGGCGGGACACGUGGUAUCCUGUCUGAAUAUGGGGGGACCAUCCUCCAAGGCUAAAUACUCCUGACUGACCGAUAGUGAACCAGUACCGUGAGGGAAAGGCGAAAAGAACCCCGGCGAGGGGAGUGAAAAAGAACCUGAAACCGUGUACGUACAAGCAGUGGGAGCCCCACCACCAAAGCAUUUGCUGUACCGCGUUGACGGAGCGAAGCGACGUCAAACCGAUAAAACAGCAGUGUA